ACGAACGCUGGCGGCGUGCUUAACACAUGCAAGUCGAACGGAAAGGCCCUGCUUUUGUGGGGUGCUCGAGUGGCGAACGGGUGAGUAACACGUGAGUAACCUGCCCUUGACUUUGGGAUAACUUCAGGAAACUGGGGCUAAUACCGGAUAGGAGCUCCGGCUGCAUGGUGGGGGUUGGAAAGUUUCGGCGGUUGGGGAUGGACUCGCGGCUUAUCAGCUUGUUGGUGGGGUAGUGGCUUACCAAGGCUUUGACGGGUAGCCGGCCUGAGAGGGUGACCGGCCACAUUGGGACUGAGAUACGGCCCAGACUCCUACGGGAGGCAGCAGUGGGGAAUAUUGCACAAUGGGCGGAAGCCGGAUGCAGCAACGCGGCGUGCGGGAUGACGGCUUUCGGGUUGUAAACCGCUUUCGCCUGUGACGAAGCGUGAGUGACGGUAAUGGGUAAAGAAGCACCGGCUAACUACGUG
Molecule: ribosomal RNA, 467 nt
Filed under: uncultured bacterium
Lineage: Bacteria
Description: partial 16S ribosomal RNA
Rfam family: Bacterial small subunit ribosomal RNA
Source: RNAcentral